GCAGCCUCUUCUUCAUUUCAUGGGUGAGGCCAGAAAGAAAAAUGGCCUGAAGUUGGGCAGGGAGGCAGUGCAGAGGACAGCGUGAGAUGAGAGGGAAGAAAGAUGACCUGGUUUUGCUUCCAAGUGACUCAGCAAUGCUUCUGCACCGGUCAGGCUAGAGGAGGACACCCCCAAUGCCAUCCCCUGGGGAGGCCACCACAGGAAAUCAAACCUUCACCCACUGCAGGAACUCCUCAAUAUUUCUGCAGCACAGUCCUGGGAGCCAAGGUAUCCCUUGUUCGUCUCUCCGAGCAUCGCACUGGGGAUCAGGCACGUUGCUUUUAAUAUUCCUAAUGGUUCUUUUUCCUUGGCCUAACUUUAUUCCACUCAUUUUGAAACUCUUGACAACCUUUCAUCAAAUGCUUCUGACAAACUCAAAGCAUAUCUAACAUGGGCACUAAUAAUUUAGUACUGUAAUUUUAUGGGUAUUUUAAAGUUCCUGAGUAUUACUAUUAUUUUAUGGAAUGGCUUUUCCUCCUUUUCUUUGGUCUUUCUUCCUAUAUUCAGUGGAAUUAUAGGUGAAAUGUAUUUCUUGGCUGUUGUUUCAUCUUUUGUUCAUACAGUUAAAUAUUGCACUAGUUAAAGAUUGCACGAGGCCCCCACAUUAAAAUUUUAUUGUAUUUUUGUAUUUAUUUUUGGCCCAGAUCUGGAGGCCUCUCAGGCUCAGGCCUUGUGUAAUUUUAUUGGUUUGUGGGUGGAGGAAAGGACAAAAAUGAGGUUUGUGGCCAGAAUGUUAUCUUUGGCUAUACACAUCUAUCUGAGGGCCUGAUUCUCUCUGGUUCAUAAGCACGUAAAUCUCGAGCAGCUCCACUGGAAAAAAAAAAAAAAGGAAAAAAAAGGGGGGGUUAAAAUGAUGUAAAAUGGAUGUAAAUUAGAUCAGAAUCACCUCUGUGGUGGUUGCAAUGUAAGAGUUUUGCUAUUUAUGAUGUAGCUGGGAGCUGUUGACUAGCCUCUCUAAAGAUAAGAGCCACCUAUAACUCAGUAGUGGGCAUCUUUUUUUUCAUUUUGACUAAUGACUGCUGGCUAAACGAAAGAUAAAAAACACUUGUUUUUAUGAGCUCUAGUGCCUAUAAGCAACAGCAAUAAGAACACAAAACUAAUCACGCUGAGAAUCACAACUGAAUUUUGGUGACCUUGCUGUUGAGUGAAAAGCACCUUAUUCUACUCUCCUUCCACAACCAAAAAACUAUUGAAUUCAAGUGCUAAUACACAGAGGUUUCAGCCUGAAUCAGUUUUUGGUUUUGGUUUUGUUUUAUAAAAGGGGGACUAUCACAUCCUCUGGGGUCUGGGUCUGCAUGUUCUACAGCUCACCGUGAAUCGUGGCCACCGUAUCCUGAGCUGCUUCCUGCCUGGUUCAUUGCCAUCACCACCAUCAUGUUCCUCCUUCAAACCUGUCUUUCUCUUGCUUCUUUGCACAUAUAUUCAUGUCAGGUCUUUGGCUUGGAAAUGACUUCUCCUGUGAGCCAAACCUUCUUAUUCUACACUUUAAAAUCCUUAUGAAAUUUGGCUUGCCUUCCAAAGCUAAGCCUCAGCUCCCUUGUUACUCUUCUAAAUAUAAAACAUUUUUAUUGCAUUGUUAUGCUGAAAAAAAAAAUGACAAGACAAGACGAAAAGAAAAGAAAAGAAAAGAAAAGAAAAGAAAAGAAAAGAAAAGAAAAGAAAAGA
This is a long non-coding RNA of Cygnus atratus (black swan), 1704 nucleotides long. RefSeq lists it as uncharacterized. The record is from RefSeq and is a predicted model, not a curated record. The transcript is spliced from 2 exons. NCBI's taxonomy places the organism in Eukaryota, Metazoa, Chordata, Aves, Anseriformes, Anatidae.